Molecule: ribosomal RNA, 303 nt
Filed under: uncultured bacterium
Lineage: Bacteria
Description: partial 16S ribosomal RNA
Rfam family: Bacterial small subunit ribosomal RNA
Source: RNAcentral
AGCAGUCGCCACGGUAAUACGUAGGGUGCGAGCGUUAAUCGGAAUUACUGGGCGUAAAGCGUGCGUAGGCGGUUCGUUAAGUCUGUUGUGAAAGCCCCGGGCUCAACCUGGGAAUGGCAAUGGAUACUGGCGAGCUAGGGUGUGUCAGAGGAUGGUGGAAUUCCCGGUGUAGCGGUGAAAUGCGUAGAGAUCGGGAGGAACAUCAGUGGCGAAGGCGGCCAUCUGGGACAACACUGACGCUGAGGCACGAAAGCGUGGGGAGCAAACAGGAUUAGAUACCCGAGUAGUCCCUGUCUCUUAUAC